This 466-nucleotide ribosomal RNA is filed under the name uncultured bacterium. RNAcentral describes it as "partial 16S ribosomal RNA". It matches the Rfam family "Bacterial small subunit ribosomal RNA", at positions 28 to 507 of the family's 1533-position model. The record is from RNAcentral.
GAUGAACGCUGGCGGCGUGCUUAACACAUGCAAGUCGAACGAUGAAGCCCAGCUUGCUGGGUGGAUUAGUGGCGAACGGGUGAGUAACACGUGAGUAACCUGCCCUUAACUCUGGGAUAAGCCUGGGAAACUGGGUCUAAUACCGGAUAGGAGCGUCCACCGCAUGGUGGGUGUUGGAAAGAUUUAUCGGUUUUGGAUGGACUCGCGGCCUAUCAGCUUGUUGGUGAGGUACUGGCUCACCAAGGCGACGACGGGUAGCCGGCCUGAGAGGGUGACCGGCCACACUGGGACUGAGACACGGCCCAGACUCCUACGGGAGGCAGCAGUGGGGAAUAUUGCACAAUGGGCGCAAGCCUGAUGCAGCGACGCCGCGUGAGGGAUGACGGCCUUCGGGUUGUAAACCUCUUUCAGUAGGGAAGAAGCGAAAGUAACGGUACCUGCAGAAGAAGCACCGGCUAACUACGUG